AGUUUGAAAUUCAUCAAAUAAGUAUAAGUCUCCUUCAGUGUAAUACUUCACAGCAACCUCGGGAGCAGGCAAUUUUUUUAACUCCUCUCCUUGGGCCUUCAAAAAUUUAUCAUAAGUUGAAAAUGCAUGGCUUUCAACACAUUCAGAAAAGUGAUAUGCCAUUCUUGGGCUAAUCAUGUACAUAAGUACUGUCAUAAAAUAAUAAGCAACAGCAAUAUGUUGAGCAAGAAAACGAUCGAACCACCAAUCGUUGCCCCCCA
This 260-nucleotide unclassified non-coding RNA is filed under the name Hevea brasiliensis (rubber tree). Lineage: Eukaryota; Viridiplantae; Streptophyta; Magnoliopsida; Malpighiales; Euphorbiaceae. The record is from RNAcentral.